CCUACGGGAGGCAGCAGUGAGGAAUAUUGGUCAAUGGGCGAGAUGCUGAACCAGCCAAGCCGCGUGAGGGAAGACGGCCCUAUGGGUUGUAAACCUCUUUUGUCGGGGAACAAACCCCGGGACGAGUCCCGGACUGCGUGUACCCGGAGAAAAAGCAUCGGCUAACUCCGUGCCAGCAGCCGCGGUAAUACGGAGGAUGCGAGCGUUAUCCGGAUUUAUUGGGUUUAAAGGGUGCGUAGGCGGUAGGUUAAGUCAGCGGUAAAAUUGCGGGGCUCAACCCCGUCGCGCCGUUGAAACUGGGAGACUUGAGUUGGCGAGAAGUACGCGGAAUGCGAGGUGUAGCGGUGAAAUGCAUAGAUAUCGCGCAGAACUCCGAUUGCGAAGGCAGCGUACCGGCGCCAGACCGACGCUGAGGCACGAAAGCGUGGGGAUCGAACAGGAUUAGAUACCCUGGUAGUC
RNAcentral lists this ribosomal RNA (459 nucleotides) under uncultured bacterium. RNAcentral's name for it is "partial 16S ribosomal RNA". It matches the Rfam family "Bacterial small subunit ribosomal RNA", at positions 338 to 795 of the family's 1533-position model. The record is from RNAcentral.